This 26-nucleotide non-coding RNA is filed under the name Rattus norvegicus (Norway rat). Lineage: Eukaryota; Metazoa; Chordata; Mammalia; Rodentia; Muridae. The record is from RNAcentral.
UUCUUUGAAGCGAGGUUGCAUUAUGA